CCCUAUUAUGCAUAAUGUUAUAAAAGUUACUAGAAUUAGGAGAAAAUUAAAAAUUUUGGCGGUUUUAUUAAAAAUUAGAGGAGCUUGUUUGAAGUUAGAAUUUACUCUUUAAAUUUUAAUAUUAAUUAGGUUUAUUCAUUUCUGUUAUAAGAAGAAAUUUGUAAUAUUUAUUUUAAUAAUAUUUCAGGUCUAGAUGUAGCAUCUAAUAUUAAAAAUUAGCUACAAUUAUGUAAUAUAUGGAUUAUAAUACUGGAUUGUUAUAUUAAAAUGAAUUUAUUUGUAAUUAUAGUUAGAAUAUUAUAUUGAUUAUAUUAAUUAAUGU
Molecule: ribosomal RNA, 322 nt
Filed under: Neoancistrotus guapimirim
Lineage: Eukaryota; Metazoa; Arthropoda; Arachnida; Opiliones; Gonyleptidae
Description: partial 12S ribosomal RNA
Source: RNAcentral